UGGGAUAUAGCUCAGUGGCAAAGCGCUUGCCUAGCAAGCGCAGCGUCCUGGGUUCGAUCCCCAGUACCAA
Molecule: transfer RNA, 70 nt
Filed under: Dipodomys ordii (Ord's kangaroo rat)
Lineage: Eukaryota; Metazoa; Chordata; Mammalia; Rodentia; Heteromyidae
Rfam family: tRNA
About the family: Transfer RNA (tRNA) molecules are approximately 80 nucleotides in length. Their secondary structure includes four short double-helical elements and three loops (D, anti-codon, and T loops). Further hydrogen bonds mediate the characteristic L-shaped molecular structure. tRNAs have two regions of fundamental functional importance: the anti-codon, which is responsible for specific mRNA codon recognition, and the 3' end, to which the tRNAs corresponding amino acid is attached (by aminoacyl-tRNA synthetases). tRNAs cope with the degeneracy of the genetic code in two manners: having more than one tRNA (with a specific anti-codon) for a particular amino acid; and 'wobble' base-pairing, i.e. permitting non-standard base-pairing at the 3rd anti-codon position.
Source: Rfam by way of RNAcentral